AGUAAUGUCUGGGAAACUGCCUGAUGGAGGGGGAUAACUACUGGAAACGGUAGCUAAUACCGCACAAUGUCGCAAGACCAAAGUGGGGGACCUUCGGGCCUCAUGCCAUCAGAUGUGCCCAGAUGGGAUUAGCUAGUAGGUGGGGUAACGGCUCACCUAGGCGACGAUCCCUAGCUGGUCUGAGAGGAUGACCAGCCACACUGGAACUGAGACACGGUCCAG
This 222-nucleotide ribosomal RNA is filed under the name uncultured bacterium. RNAcentral describes it as "partial 16S ribosomal RNA". It matches the Rfam family "Bacterial small subunit ribosomal RNA", at positions 109 to 334 of the family's 1533-position model. The record is from RNAcentral.